AAGGUAAUAACAGCCAGUAAAGCCAACAAUGCAAACAUUUUGGCCAUUUUAAAUUCAAUACAACCUAUGAUAAAUACAAUAAUAUUAAAGUUGCCCAAGUUUCUGAUGUUAAAUAUUUUGUUUUCUUUCCCAUACAGUUGCCUGACGUGUAAAAUGUGUUUUCCUCCAUUUAUCACAGUUGUCUCUAUAGGCUCCAUUUGUCUCAUUUCAUGUGAGAGAGAUUCAAGUCGUACUCCUUAGCCGUGCUUGUUGGUGUUACGCGGCGCACAGUCUCAUUCCUCUGGCUAUUUUGUUGAAUUUCCACCACUAUUGGUGCAUUAGCGACAGAACGUGGACUAGCUUCAAUAUUUAUAGCUUUGUUACCUCAGAAGACUACACCUGUAAAGAAAAGACCUAUGCAGUCACAGCAAAUGCUUUUCCUCUUCUCCCAUGAGGUUGUACAACCCUGGUGCCAUAUCAACUCGUCGCCAGAGGGGCGACUCUAGAAGUUGUGCUACACCCUUUGAAAUGAAUUAUGUCAUUAGCGUGUUUUUUUUAUUAUUAUUAUUAUUAGCAUGUUAACACCGAGCAGAAAUUUUGUACGUAGGUCACAUGGCCAUUGUUCUUAUAGUGAAUUCCAGCUUAUUUCACUAGUCAGUGAAAUGUACUUUUUUUCCCCAUAUAUGAAGUAUUACAUUUAGAUAUACAAAAUUAGAAAAAAAAAUAUUUUGUACAACAAUUAAUCCUAAAUUGGCUCAAAAAGUUUAAGACAACUGUCAAUCUUGUGUCCUUGAUGAAUGCGUAUGACAUCCAUAAAAUUGUUUUUGAUGCUCAAACUUUGCCUAAAACUGCUAAAAUAAAAUAAUGUAUGUCUGAGAAAAGCAGAUUUAUGUAUUAUGUUAUCAGCUGCAAUUAUGACAUUUUCAAAGGCUUUUAUUAGUAAAAUGGUUUUGAGCUAAAAUUGUUUGUUAUGCAUUAUUACAUUUAACAAGGCCAAAAGUAUUAAACAUAACUGGUUGUAACACAAUUGUGACGUGAAUAUUCUCUGAUCUAAACCGAUAAUGUCAUCAGGUCCAUAAGAGCCAGUGUUCUGCAUGUUUUAGAUGUGUUCCUGCUCCAACAUAGAUUUAGAUUAUUUUAAACAAUUAACCCCAAAUAGCAAUAUAAUUACAGUUAGAAUCAGUUGUUACUUAUAGGAAAGAAAUUCUACAGAGCUGAAAUAAUGUCUGAAAAACUCAUCAGUGUAUCAUCAAAUUCUGCUGAGUCCUGGUAAUGAACUAUUCAUUAAAUCCAGGGGUGUUGAACCAGGGGAAGGUUCAACACCCCCUGGAGGACUGAAGCUGAAAACGACUGAUCUACAAUGUUUCAUUUUAACUCUGGCUGCAUCUCAUGCAUUGUUGCAUGUUUAGGCUUGUUUUCCUGCUGUAAAGGUAAUCCACACCAGCUAACAGAUUCCCUUUCAAUAUUCUUCCCAUCAACUCUGAGCAGAUUCACUUUCAUGCAUGACAAACAUUGUAAUUAGUAAAAAA
Molecule: long non-coding RNA, 1508 nt
Organism: Fundulus heteroclitus (mummichog)
Lineage: Eukaryota; Metazoa; Chordata; Actinopteri; Cyprinodontiformes; Fundulidae
Exons: 2
Source: RefSeq, a predicted model, not a curated record